GAUGAAGAGCGCAGCGAAAUGCGAUACUUGGUGUGAAUUGCAGAAUCCCGUGAACCAUCGAGUCUUUGAACGCAAGUUGCGCCCGAAGCCAUUAGGCCGAGGGCACGCCUGCCUGGGCGUCACACGUCGUUGCCCCCCCAUCUACUCCUUCGGGAUUGCGGGGGGCGGAUGAUGGCCUCCCGUGCGCCUCGUCGCGCGGUUGGCAUAAAUGCCAAGUCCUCGGCGACGCACGCCACGACAAUCGGUGGUUGCGAAACCUCGGUUGCCCGUCGUGUGCGGUCGUCGCGCAUCGAGGGCUCGAAAAAAUUGCCGGGCUCCGGCUCGGCUUUCAACGCGACCCCAGGUCAGGCGGGGUUACCCGCUGAAUUUAAGCAUAUCAAUAAGCGGAGGA
RNAcentral lists this unclassified non-coding RNA (391 nucleotides) under soil metagenome. RNAcentral describes it as "partial contains 5.8S ribosomal RNA, internal transcribed spacer 2, and large subunit ribosomal RNA". The stretch from base 1 to 122 matches the Rfam family "5.8S ribosomal RNA", at positions 35 to 154 of the family's 154-position model. The record is from RNAcentral.